AGGAAGUAAGAUCUUUUUCUAAAACCUAUUUACAUUGGCGGCAUUUCAUCUUAUUAGAGGAACUUGUUUAAUAAUCGACAAUCCACGUUAAUUUUCACUUUCAUUAAAAGUUUAUAUACCGCCAUCUAAAGAGUUAAUUCAAUAAUAUUUCUCUAAAUAAAAAAUAAAAAGUUAGGUCAAGGUGUAAUUUAUAUAAAAGUUUUAAAUGAGUUACUUUAAAAAAUAUUUAAGAAUUAAUUAAUAAUAACUUUUUAUGAAAAAGGAUUUAAAAGUAAUAUUAUAAAUAAUAAUUUUUUAUGAAUUAGAUAAUAAAUGUGC
RNAcentral lists this ribosomal RNA (318 nucleotides) under Pisaurina mira. Its description in RNAcentral is "partial 12S ribosomal RNA". The record is from RNAcentral. Lineage: Eukaryota; Metazoa; Arthropoda; Arachnida; Araneae; Pisauridae.